AUACGUAGGGAGCAAGCGUUGUCCGGAAUUACUGGGCGUAAAGGGUGCGUAGGUGGCCAUGCAAGUCAGAUGUGAAAUCCCCGGGCUUAACUCGGGGGGUGCAUUUGAAACUGCGUGGCUUGAGUGCAGGAGAGGAAAGCGGAAUUCCUAGUGUAGCGGUGAAAUGCGUAGAUAUUAGGAGGAACACCAGUGGCGAAGGCGGCUUUCUGGACUGUAACUGACACUGAGGCACGAAAGCGUGGGGAGC
RNAcentral lists this ribosomal RNA (247 nucleotides) under uncultured bacterium. Its description in RNAcentral is "partial 16S ribosomal RNA". It matches the Rfam family "Bacterial small subunit ribosomal RNA", at positions 523 to 769 of the family's 1533-position model. The record is from RNAcentral.